RNAcentral lists this ribosomal RNA (253 nucleotides) under uncultured bacterium. RNAcentral describes it as "partial 16S ribosomal RNA". It matches the Rfam family "Bacterial small subunit ribosomal RNA", at positions 524 to 776 of the family's 1533-position model. The record is from RNAcentral.
UACGAGGGGUGCAAGCGUUGCUCGGAAUUAUUGGGCUUAAAGGGUAGGUAGGUGGUCUCAUUUGUCAGGGGUGAAAGCCUUGGGCUUAACCCAAGAAGUGCCCUUGAAACGGUGAGACUGGAGUCUUGGAGAGGGUCGUGGAAUUCCCGGUGUAGCGGUGAAAUGCGUAGAGAUCGGGAGGAACACCAGAGGCGAAGGCGGCGACCUGGACAAGUACUGACACUCAACUACGAAAGCGUGGGUAGCAAACAGG